Molecule: non-coding RNA, 30 nt
Filed under: Homo sapiens (human)
Lineage: Eukaryota; Metazoa; Chordata; Mammalia; Primates; Hominidae
Source: RNAcentral
UGGAAAGGGAUGGGAUACGAAUGCUGGAGU